GUCUAUAGUCAGACCACCCUGAAUGCACCCGAGUUCCUCUGAUCUCAGAAGCUAAUUGGGGUUGGGCCUGAUUAGUGCUUAGAUGGGAACCACUGGGAUACUUAGUGCUGUAGGCU
This 116-nucleotide ribosomal RNA is filed under the name Microtus ochrogaster (prairie vole). Lineage: Eukaryota; Metazoa; Chordata; Mammalia; Rodentia; Cricetidae. The record is from RNAcentral.